This is a long non-coding RNA of Lytechinus variegatus (green sea urchin), 297 nucleotides long. RefSeq lists it as uncharacterized. The record is from RefSeq and is a predicted model, not a curated record. The transcript is spliced from 3 exons. NCBI's taxonomy places the organism in Eukaryota, Metazoa, Echinodermata, Echinoidea, Temnopleuroida, Toxopneustidae.
AAAAAAUCCUGGGGCGAUCGAGCCUUUGCUCAUGCCGGACUAGCCCUGUGGAAUUCACUACCACAGGAGCUGAAGAACUCAAACUCUGCAACAUCCUUUAAGGGCAACCUAAAAUUGCAUUUGUUCACCAGCAGGUUCUAGCUAGGUUUGGAGACAGACAUUUUUCCUCAUUUGUAAUGUACCCUUUCUUGUACUUGUCUUAUAGUAUCUCUUUACUUUUGUUUUGCUCUCUUAUAAGUGCCUUGAGCAUUUAAUCAAAAUGGAAAGACGCUAUAUAAAUCAUAUGUAUUAUUAUUA